RNAcentral lists this long non-coding RNA (1079 nucleotides) under Vulpes vulpes (red fox). RNAcentral describes it as "lncRNA (ENSVVUG00000011035.1)". The record is from RNAcentral. Lineage: Eukaryota; Metazoa; Chordata; Mammalia; Carnivora; Canidae.
AUGAGAAGUACUACAAUCAGAAAUUACCUGCAAUUAAAUGUAGCUUUCCUUCCAUUAAAAAGCCAAAACUAUAAAAGGCUCUUCUAUACCAUUCUUACAUGAACUAAUUUUUAUCAAGGUUUUGUCACAUAAUCAGCACAAAAACUCUGUGAAGGAAGUCUUUUAUUUUUAUUCCAAUUUUUCAGAUGUAGAAAAUGAUCGAGUGACUUGAUUUCCAUAAUAGCAGACAGAACUCAUUAGAAGAAUUUUCCAAAAGGCCAAGACCUCUCCUAGUUAUUAACUUUGCACUGGUGAGGACCUAUUCAGCAAAUUGGAGAAUCUAAUCCGUGUUUUCUCAGUUCGUGACUGUCUAUACACAGGAGCAAACACAGGCAAUUUCAUGUCCUAAGCAUUCACACGGGGGUUUUAGCAACGGUUGUGGCAUUAAGCUGCAUUUUAAGUGGCUAUAUAAGAUGCAACAACAUCAUUACCUUGAAUUAAAGUGCAAGAGGAACACUCCACUGGGAGCGCAUCGUAUCCUACAUGAAGAAAAUAAUUCAUGAGAAAGACAGAUCUGUAUGAGAUUAAUCGGAAAGAUGCUGAAUGUUACGUGCUCAUAUGUGGAGGGAAAACCAGGUCCUGCCAUUUACAUUAGACAUUAUUACAGCGAUGCCACAAGCCAGCCCCAGAAUCUCUGCCCUUGCAGGAGGCAGGGAGUCAAAAUAAGUAUACAAAGUUAUAUUAUGUUUGUGACAAAAGAUCAGAGAAGUGAGUGAUCAUUGCCAUCUUAAGGAAUGGAAAAGGAAGAUAAAGGAAGGAACUAAAGAGUACCAGAAACUUUGGACCUCACAGAAAAACUGGCUGCUACAUCACAGAACUGGCAGGGGCAACAACAUAAACUAGUUCCACCACCAACUCUCCCUAGCACCCCGUGUUUAUUGGUGAACAUCCUGAUGGAAUGGUAUUAGUGACAUCAAAUCCAGAAAGCAAAGAAUUAUCGCUAAUUUUUUCUUUACGAUGAAUUCCAUAUAAAAGUGAGAAAUUGGUUCACUACAAAUACCCCUCAGAUAUCCCUAAUUCUAACUUGCAACAAUUAAAAG